UGAGGGAAUAUUGGGUCAAUGGGCGAGAGCCUGAACCAGCCAAGCCGCGUGAGGGAAGAAGGCGCUCAGCGUCGUAAACCUCUUUAGCCGGGGACAAAACCUCCUCGCGAAGGAGGCUUGAGAGUACCCGGAGAAUAAGCAUCGGCUAACUCCGUGCCAGCAGCCGCGGUAAUACGGAGGAUGCGAGCGUUAUCCGGAUUUAUUGGGUUUAAAGGGAGCGUAGGCCGGAGAUUAAGCGUGUUGUGAAAUGUAGACGCUCAACGUCUGCACUGCAGCGCGAACUGGUUUCCUUGAGUACGCACAAAGUGGGCGGAAUUCGUGGUGUAGCGGUGAAAUGCUUAGAUAUCACGAAGAACUCCGAUUGCGAAGGCAGCUCACUGGAGCGCAACUGACGCUGAAGCUCG
RNAcentral lists this ribosomal RNA (404 nucleotides) under uncultured Prevotella sp. RNAcentral's name for it is "bacterial SSU rRNA". It matches the Rfam family "Bacterial small subunit ribosomal RNA", at positions 354 to 755 of the family's 1533-position model. The record is from RNAcentral. Lineage: Bacteria; Pseudomonadati; Bacteroidota; Bacteroidia; Bacteroidales; Prevotellaceae.